Molecule: non-coding RNA, 826 nt
Organism: Misgurnus anguillicaudatus (oriental weatherfish)
Lineage: Eukaryota; Metazoa; Chordata; Actinopteri; Cypriniformes; Cobitidae
Source: RefSeq, a predicted model, not a curated record
GGCGGCACUCAGCUUACACUCUCCGGUCCCCCACUCAACUGAAAAUGAAUAAGAGAUGCGUGUUGAAUGCCAAAUAACAUUCUGAAUCUCCCCACAGUAAACGCAUUUUCAAAGUGUCUUUAUUAUUACAGUGCCUUCGUUAUUACUGUAAGUGUAUAUUUAUAGUUAUGUGAUGUAAAUACUGUUAAAUAGCGUCAACUGAUAUAUUAUCUGCAUGGCUAACGUCUAACUUACUGUGGUGCUCUGGUCUAGUCUGCCUCAUUGGUCAUUGAUGGAUAUACGAUUUAUAUUUUUAAAGACGUCAGAAGUAAGAAGUGCAAAUAGGAAGAGAGGAGGGUGGAGAGAGAUCACAGACAGACAGAAAGAGAGAGAAACGCUUCCAUAAGCAGGUGAGAAAUUGUUCUGUCAAUGAAGUCAAAAAUUGUUAUUCUUAUGUAGCUUUAUAGUUACUGGAUUAGCCUUCAGCAAACAUGUUUGCCUAUUUUUGGAUAAGAGAAGUUAAAGUAUCAUUGUCAAAAUUUGUUAUGUUGCAGUUUCAAAAUGACAAUACCAGUGUUGGGUAAGUUACUAAAAAAGUAAUUAAUUACUAGUUACUAAUUACAUCUUCAAUCAUGUAAUUAAAUUACUUUACAAAUUACUCCAAAAAGUAUUUAAUUAUUACUAAUUACUUUCUAAAUCCUAUUUAGUACAUGAUACAAGGAUAGGCUUGAAAUGGCUCGAAGAAACAAUAUAUAAAAGUACAUCAAUUAUUCUGGUCCCACUUUAGGGUUCAUUUCUCUCUAUUAAUUAACUAUUAACUACUUUUGCCUCAAAUACUCCAACUACU